This is a long non-coding RNA of Equus quagga, 2727 nucleotides long. RefSeq lists it as uncharacterized. The transcript has 4 exons. Lineage: Eukaryota; Metazoa; Chordata; Mammalia; Perissodactyla; Equidae. The record is from RefSeq and is a predicted model, not a curated record.
CCGCCCGGCCCGCCGGCCCGAGACGGCGCCAGCGCCCCGGAUUCGCCUCGGCUCGGCCGCGCGUAUAUUUCCCUUCCUUCAUGAUCUCCAACACUGAUAAAGUGGAAGAAGCUGAGGUACCAUGAAAGAGAAAAGUAACCAGGACUGAGAAAAAGAAAGAGGUCUCAGCCUGAGAUGAUGCUUCUCCAGAAAGACUUCCCUGAUCUCCCCAGACUGGGUUUAGAUGUACUUGAGGUGGUCUAGUUCCUUCCCCUUGGAUUUGAAGCGAGGUUAUAAAAGGUGAUUCCACUUCCUCCUGGUUCUCUUGGGAUUCUUGCUCUUGGAACCCAGCCACCAUGUAUGAGGAGGCCCAAGCUGCCCUGUGUAGAGACCCACAUGGAGAAGAACCAAUAGCCAGCAUCAACUUGCCAGCCAUGUGGGUGAGCCAUUUUGAAAAUGAGUCCUCCAGCUUCCUGCAGACCACCCAGUUGACACCUGUUGGAGUGGCAAUGAGCUAUCCCUGCUGAACCCUGCCCAAAUUAGAGAUUCAUUAGCAAAAUAAAUGGUGAUUGUUGUUUUAAGCCACUUAAGUCUUGGGAUGGUUUUAUUAAGCAGCAAUAGGUAACUGGAAGAGCAUCUUAUGUUUGUCAUGCAGGCAGGUGGUGCCACUCAGUGGUUAAGAGGGUGGUCUGUGACUAAGAGGGUCUUGGUUCAGAGCCUACCUCUGCUACUUUACUAGUUGUGUGACCCUUGGCAAGUUUCUCAACCUCUCCGUGCUUCAGUUUCCUUUUUUCAGUGAAAAUAAAAGCAGUACUUAAGUUUGUUGUGAGGAGUAAGUGAUCAAUGCAGGUAAAUGCAGAUCUACAGGUAAUACAGAUCAGUCUUUGUGAUCAUCUCAGGCAAGCCUCUGAUCAUUCACCAUCGCUCACUUGUGUGGCUCUGUUUCUUUGUCUUUAUAAUGCUUUUGGUAUAUGUAUAUACGUGUGUGUGUAUUUAUAUGUGUAUCUAUAUACAUGUAUAGUAUAGAGCUUUUAGCGCUAUCUGAAAUGAUCUUGUCUGCUUGUUAUUGUUUAUCCCACAGAGUAUGAGUCCCAGUAAAGCAGGAAACUUGCCUGUCUCAUUCACUGCUUUAUUGCCAGUACCUGGAACAGUUCCUGGCACAAAGUGCUUAAUAACUUUUUUUGUUAACGAAUGGAUGAAUACACCUUUCACACUUCUUGUAGAAGAUAUCACUAAUUCUUACCUGGUAUCCAUUUUCUCCUAUAAUAAUAGUGGACCCUGCUUUUGUUGUGGAUGUCAGUAUGAAAUACUCACUGUCCCAGACUCCCUUGCAGCUAAGGGUCAUUGUGUAAUACAUUUCCUGUGAGUGAGACAUAAUCAAAGUUCUGCUAAGGAUGUCUGGGAAAGUUUUUUGCUUUGAUAUAGGCACUGCCCUUUCUUUCUUCCCCUUUUCCUCCUUCCUGCCCACAAGACGGGCUAGAAGUAGAGCAGCCAAAAAGGUGAUAAACAUCAGGAUCAAAAUAGGAACCACCUGAGACACUGAUGAACUAUGUAGUGAAGUCACUACACCACAGACUCUCUUAUGAUGUGAGAAAAAUGAAUCCUUUGUAGUUGAGCCCCAGCAGUCAGCCUUCUGUUACUUGCAGCCAAAUACAUUCUCAACCGAUAAACUAUGAUGGAGUAAUAUCUACCCCUCUAGGCUGUUCAUUAAGGGCAAGGGACUAUUUCAUCUUUCUUACUAUUCUAUAAGAGGACUGGAAGAAUUUAUCAGCACAAAUGUCAUUCACUAUCCAGAUAUCUCUUCAGCUUUCUUCAAAUAGUGAAAGGCAGCAAGUGGCAUGGGACACCACAUUAUUAUCUGAAACUAUUUGGCUCCUCAGUUCAGACAUUUCAAAUAGCAGGGGUUACGUGUACUGUUCAUUCCUGAAACAAAUGUAUUUAUUGCCACUCUAUGCCAGCAUUGUAUGACUGUUGGGGAUACAGCAAUGAGUAAGUCAGAUAACUGAAGCUGGAUGCCCAAGUUCCCACUAAACAUUAAGCUCCCAAAGGGGAGGAGCUGAGCUGCUCCCAGUAAGAGAGACUUAAUUCUAGCAGUCUCUCUACCAUCUUGUGCCUCAUCUCAACCUUCUUUUCCCCUGACCCCACUUUAGUGGUCUUGGUGGUCUCGCUUCACUUACUCAUUCACCAGCUUUUUUUUUAGAGUUUCCCAUGUGCCUAGAAUACCCAGUGUUUGGGCUGCAUAUUUAUUUGUAGUAUUUUGAAUGCCUAAUCUUGACUUCCAAGAUCAUUCAGGUUUUAAAUUCUGUCUGCUUUCUCUACAACUAAACCUCCAUGUCCUCUUGCUGAUCCAUGAUAAAGGGGCUGUUCUCCCAGUACCAACACAUCUAUGUGGUUUACCUAAACUCAGCUGUGGGAGCUGGGUGUAUUAACCUUACCUGAUGUCAUGACUGGGCAUUACGGUCCCAAACCCAAAUGAUAGAUGCCCUCACUCAGCUCCAAGGUACAUCCAGAUUAGAAUUUGGGACAGUGGUAAAAUGGUUCAGACUAGUCAUAAACUUAGUCUCAAGGGUUAAAGCUUUAGGAAUUGCUGCUAUGGCAAUAUAGGUGUAAUAGGUUGAAGGUAGACUGUUGAGACAGAUGCCAGGAAUCCUGGGCCCACAUUGUAUUUUCACCUUUGAUAUUUUAAUUAAUUUAUUUUUAAGGAAGAUUAGCCCUGAGCUAAUAUCUGCCACUAAUUCUCCUCUUUUU